GAGCGGGCGAGGUUGCUUCGGUAACUGAGCUAGCGGCGGACGGGUGAGUAAAGCUUAGGAAUCUGCCUAUUAGUGGGGGACAACAUUCCGAAAGGGAUGCUAAUACCGCAUACGUCCUACGGGAGAAAGCAGGGGAUCACUUGUGACCUUGCGCUAAUAGAUGAGCCUAAGUCGGAUUAGCUAGUUGGUGGGGUAAAGGCCUACCAAGGCGACGAUCUGUAGCGGGUCUGAGAGGAUGAUCCGCCACACUGGGACUGAGACACGGCCCAGACUCCUACGGGAGGCAGCAGUGGGGAAUAUUGGACAAUGGGGGGAACCCUGAUCCAGCCAUGCCGCGUGUGUGAAGAAGGCCUUUUGGUUGUAAAGCACUUUAAGCGAGGAGGAGGCUUACCUGGUUAAUACCUGGGAUAAGUGGACGUUACUCGCAGAAUAAGCACCGGCUAACUCUGUGCCAGCAGCCGCGGUAAUACAGAGGGUGCGAGCGUUAAUCGGAUUUACUGGGCGUAAAGCGCGCGUAGGUGGUUAAUUAAGUCAAAUGUGAAAUCCCCGAGCUUAACUUGGGAAUUGCAUUCGAUACUGGUUAGCUAGAGUAUGGGAGAGGAUGGUAGAAUUCCAGGUGUAGCGGUGAAAUGCGUAGAGAUCUGGAGGAAUACCGAUGGCGAAGGCAGCCAUCUGGCCUAAUACUGACACUGAGGUGCGAAAGCAUGGGGAGCAAACAGGAUUAGAUACCCUGGUAGUCCAUGCCGUAAACGAUGUCUACUAGCCGUUGGGGGAUUUGAUCCUUUAGUGGCGCAGCUAACGCGAUAAGUAGACCGCCUGGGGAGUACGGUCGCAAGACUAAAACUCAAAUGAAUUGACGGGGGCCCGCACAAGCGGUGGAGCAUGUGGUUUAAUUCGAUGCAACGCGAAGAACCUUACCUGGCCUUGACAUAGUAGAGACUUUCCAGAGAUGGAUUGGUGCCUUCGGGAAU
Molecule: ribosomal RNA, 971 nt
Filed under: Acinetobacter sp. NF212
Lineage: Bacteria; Pseudomonadati; Pseudomonadota; Gammaproteobacteria; Moraxellales; Moraxellaceae
Description: bacterial SSU rRNA
Rfam family: Bacterial small subunit ribosomal RNA
Source: RNAcentral